UGGGGAAUUGUUCACAAUGGGCGCAAGCCUGAUGACGCAACGCCGCGUGGGGGAUGAAGGUCUUCGGAUCGUAAACCCUUGUCGAACGGAAAGAAUGACUCGCGCCCUAAUACUGCGCGGGACUGACGGUACCGUUAAAGGAAGCCACGGCUAACUCUGUGCCAGCAGCCGCGGUAAUACAGAGGUGGCAAGCGUUGUUCGGAAUUACUGGGCGUAAAGGGCGCGUAGGCGGCCGUCUAAGUCAGACGUGAAAUCCCCCGGCUUAACCUGGGAACUGCGUCUGAUACUGGACGGCUCGAGUUUGGGAGAGGGAUGUGGAAUUCCAGGUGUAGCGGUGAAAUGCGUAGAUAUCUGGAGGAACACCGGUGGCGAAGGCGGCAUCCUGGACCAACACUGACGCUGAGGCGCGAAAGCUAGGGGAGCGAAACGGGAUUAGAUACCCCGGUAGUCCUAGCCCUAAACGAUGAAUGCUUGGUGUGGCGGGUAUCGAUCCCUGCCGUGCCGAAG
RNAcentral lists this ribosomal RNA (507 nucleotides) under uncultured Acidobacteriota bacterium. Its description in RNAcentral is "bacterial SSU rRNA". It matches the Rfam family "Bacterial small subunit ribosomal RNA", at positions 355 to 851 of the family's 1533-position model. Lineage: Bacteria; Pseudomonadati; Acidobacteriota. The record is from RNAcentral.